This 622-nucleotide ribosomal RNA is filed under the name Leucosporidium scottii. Its description in RNAcentral is "LSU rRNA". It matches the Rfam family "Eukaryotic large subunit ribosomal RNA", at positions 35 to 654 of the family's 3401-position model. Lineage: Eukaryota; Fungi; Basidiomycota; Microbotryomycetes; Leucosporidiales; Leucosporidiaceae. The record is from RNAcentral.
UAAGCAUAUCAAUAAGCGGAGGAAAAGAAACUAACAAGGAUUCCCCUAGUAACGGCGAGUGAAGCGGGAAGAGCUCAAAUUUGUAAUCUGGCACUUUCAGUGUCCGAGUUGUAAUCUCGAGAAGUAUUUUCCGCGCCGGACCGCAUACAAGUCUGUUGGAAUACAGCGUCAUAGUGGUGAGAACCCCGUAACUGAUGCGGAUGCCCGGUGCUUUGUGAUAUACUUUCGAAGAGUCGAGUUGUUUGGGAAUGCAGCUCAAAUUGGGUGGUAAAUUCCAUCUAAAGCUAAAUAUUGGAGCAAGACCGAUAGCGAACAAGUACCGUGAGGGAAAGAUGAAAAGCACUUUGGAAAGAGAGUUAACAGUACGUGAAAUUGUUGGAAGGGAAACGCUUGAAGUCAGACUUGCUAUUCGGAGUUCAGCCGCAAGGUGUAUUCUUCGAUUUGCAGGCCAGCAUCAGUUUUUGGGGGUGGAAAAUCGUGGUUUGAAGGUAGCAGUUUCGGCUGUGUUAUAGCUUUCCACUGGAUUCAUCUUCGGGGACUGAGGAACGCAGUACGCUUUUUGCAAGGCUCUCGAGCUUUUCGUACUUAGGAUGCUGGUGGAAUGGCUUUAAACGACCCGUCU